RNAcentral lists this ribosomal RNA (449 nucleotides) under uncultured bacterium. RNAcentral's name for it is "partial 16S ribosomal RNA". It matches the Rfam family "Bacterial small subunit ribosomal RNA", at positions 29 to 523 of the family's 1533-position model. The record is from RNAcentral.
AACGAACGCUGGCGGCAGGCUUAACACAUGCAAGUCGAACGCAUCCUUCGGGGUGAGUGGCAGACGGGUGAGUAACGCGUGGGAACGUGCCCUUCAGUUCGGGAUAACCCAGGGAAACUUGGGCUAAUACCGGAUACGUGCGAGAGCAGAAAGAUUUAUCGCUGAAGGAUCGGCCCGCGUCUGAUUAGCUGGUUGGUAGGGUAAUGGCCUACCAAGGCGACGAUCAGUAGCUGGUCUGAGAGGAUGAUCAGCCACAUUGGGACUGAGACACGGCCCAAACUCCUACGGGAGGCAGCAGUGGGGAAUAUUGGACAAUGGGCGCAAGCCUGAUCCAGCCAUGCCGCGUGAGUGAUGAAGGCCUUAGGGUUGUAAAGCUCUUUCAGUGGGGACGAUAAUGACGGUACCCGCAGAAGAAGCCCCGGCUAACUUCGUGCCAGCCGCCGCCGUAA